This is a long non-coding RNA of Eriocheir sinensis (Chinese mitten crab), 2917 nucleotides long. RefSeq lists it as uncharacterized. The transcript has 6 exons. Lineage: Eukaryota; Metazoa; Arthropoda; Malacostraca; Decapoda; Varunidae. The record is from RefSeq and is a predicted model, not a curated record.
GAAGGCGUCUCUCCUUUUAUCUUGUUUUCAUUUGACUGCACGCUGAUCUGCUGCCGAGUGGUGCAACGCUCUGAGUGUGCUGACCGGUGCUGCCUCGGUGGUGAUGACGCUGUGCUGACGUGAGGAGAGCCGAGGGAAGGGCACAUAGGGAACGGCCUCAGUUUGGUGGUGUCUGCCUGGCAACGUUACCUGUUAUGCUGCGUUUUCUCUUACCUUCGAUCCUGCUGUUGCACAGCCCGUGGAACCAGUCUUGCGUGGAACACCUUGAAACUCAUGGAAAUAACGAACAUUAGAUAAUUGUUACAUUGUACCAUGAUACGUAAUCUUUUCUCAUACAGUAGAGGUAAAGAGAUGUGUGAAGAUAGUUUAAAAAGGGGGAGGGAGGCCGUGCAUUGAUCUGGACAGUUUGCCGCGGCGUGGGGGCGGGGCGGCCGGCGGCGCCUCGCUGAGGCAAACGUCAGGUGUAUAAUAGAAAGAUUUGUGACAAAAGUGGCGGGUUCCGGUCCUUACCGUUGCUAGUCGCCCUUUGAGAGAGACCCCCAGGUCCCUCCUUAAUCCUCUGUUUAUUCUUCACGUAACUGGAGCUGUGAGCUUGCGCUCGGCGUUUGGCGUGAGCCAAGGUUUGGGGGCCGUGGGCGCAUGACGCCCUUUGAGCUUCCGGCCGCGGCAGGUGCCAGACCACCACUCCCCGAGAGGCGGGACACGACCCCGGCUAAUACCCGGUACCCAUUUUACUGCUGGGUGGACAGAGGCGCGGGUGUAAGGAGAUCGCCCAUCUUUCUCCGCCCCGCCCGGGGAUCGAACCCAGGAUCUCUCGGUGGUGAGCCGAGUGUGCUAACCAUUGCACUACGGAGUACCCGAUUUGGAAUUCCCUCCGUAACCUUUAUAUUCGUGUAUACCUUCCAUGGUCGAAGAGAAUUGCUCACUUUUUUUUUAAUCUUUUCAUAUAUUCUUCUGCUUUCUUGUUUCUUCCUCAUCCAGCCAGCCAGACAGACAAACUAUGUGUCGUUCCCUAAACUCACCCUCCAAUCAUCGCAUCCCUAUCCUACCACCACAACCUUAAGUAUGUUUCUUCUCCUCAAGCAUCAUCCCUAGAAGGAGUGCAGUGCGGGGUAAAAGGUGGUCCGAAAAGGGAGAAGGGGGAUAGGGAGGGGGGGGGCACGAGGCGGCAAGUUAACAAGCCGGGCAUUGUCGACCUUCCCCCUACGAGUGCUUCGUGGUGUAGUGGUAUCGAUCCACGGCCACCACGCUCGGCUCACAACCGAGAGAUCCUAGGUUCGAAUCCCGGGCGGAGCGGAGAUACAUGGGCAGUUUCCUUUGACCCGUGCCCCUGUUCACCCAGCAGUGAGUGGGUACCGGGUGUCAGGCAGGGGUUGUGCCCCGCAUCCCGGGUGGUGGUCCGGCUCCUGCAAUGGCGGGUAACUCAAGGGUGCAAACCCAGAUCCCCAAACCCGGCCUCGGCCAAACCUGCAGUAAUGCAAACAAUGAAGGAUCUACAAAACUAAAGCUACGGAAGUCGAAAGACAAUAAUGAAAGUCGUAAGACAAAUCUGGAGGGAUACGGGGGUCUCUCUCCGGCCAACCGUCAGAGCGGACCGGAAACCAUCAUUUUUGUUUUCUUAGGCCCAACACCGACGCCAACGCCACCUGGGAGUCGCGUCAGGAAGCUCAGACCAGACAAGGCGCGAGAAGAGGUGGUAAUGAGGUCAGGUCAGGUCAGCGAUCAAAGGUGUUAGUUGUUUCGAGAGCGGGGAUGAGUGGGCAGGUGAAGCAGUGGGGGUUCAGAUCUCGCCCCGCCCACCAGGGAACGCCCCAGCCGGUCAGUGCUGCGCGGCGCUAACCGGGGAUGACCCAUGACCCCCGCCGCUCCUCCACACAGAGUUGCAAAGUUCUUUUGCCAUACCUGAGUCUUUCAUUCAACCGAGCUUAGACAGAGAUUGAAGUGUACAACCUCCACUCAUGGUGCCCAGCAGGUGUGUGGCAGUGCAGCAGCCACUCGUACUGUGCUGGCCGGGAGGGAGAGAUUUCUUGAACACACUGGUGGAACAAGUCAGCUGCCUGUCAAGAGGGUAGAGAUGAUGUUAGUCAACUCUGAAAAAGCCUUGUGUUAUCUUGGCUGCUACUGUCUCCUGUGAGUGGUGUGGCUGAGGCCUUCAGAACAAGACUUCAGCAUGGAGAGAUACACACCCAUCACCCUUGGAUGGAAAGUCCUGGUUGAUGGUGCCGCAACAUGACGACCAAAACUGGGAAAUGAGGAGUAAUUGAUUGAAUAAGCGUGCUGUUCCUUCAUUAGCAUCCUGGCCAGGACCCAUUCAUGGAGUCUGUCAUGUAGUCCCAUAACCCCGUCCCCUCAUUAACCCAGACUCUACCUGGUCAGUAAUCUUACCAUUGGCAAACUCAGUGUUCAUACGAGUCUGAGCUGAAGUCAACAGUAAGAUUCAUGAUACUUGGGAGAGCUGGCAGAGGGUGAGGUGGUGGUGACUGGCGCUGAGCUUCGUGAUGUACACCUGGGAGAGUUGGGGCCAGGUAGACCUCAGCUUGCACAACGAAUCACAUUUGCUGCAAUGAUGUUCAAAGCUAGUCCUCUUUAUCACAUGCCUAUCAUUUUAAGUAAGGUCCAGGCAGUGGUGGGCACUGCUAACUGAAAAGUUAGCUUCGCCAAUUGGUAAUCCACUAACUAAAAAGUUGGCUUCGCUGACGCUAAACUGGUAAAGAAAUUAGUGGAAGCAAACACUAACUGCUAACUUUUUUACUUGGAUUUAGCUUCAGUUUAGUAUUUUGUCUUUAAAACCCUUAAAUAUAGACCUACUGACCUGAAAUUUCAAUGUUGUAGAUUAGACAUAGAGCUUUCCAGAAAGGUAUACCAUGCCAAAAUCAGAUGAUGAUAAAGUGUACUCAAAUAAACAAAUUAAAUUCAA